RNAcentral lists this ribosomal RNA (120 nucleotides) under uncultured bacterium. RNAcentral describes it as "partial 16S ribosomal RNA". It matches the Rfam family "Bacterial small subunit ribosomal RNA", at positions 29 to 159 of the family's 1533-position model. The record is from RNAcentral.
AGCGAACGCUGGCGGCAGGCCUAACACAUGCAAGUCGAACGGACCCUUCGGGGUUAGUGGCGGACGGGUGAGUAACACGUGGGAACGUGCCUUUAGGUUCGGAAUAGCUCCUGGAAACGG